CAACUGUAUUCCUGAGUGGGGUUCUUAUGAUAAAUUUAACUUCAGCUAUAGAACCAGACCAAAAAAAUUUUAUAAAACAAAAUACCAUGACAUUCAUUUACUGGAAAAAUAUUCUGAGUGCACAAUAUGCACCAGCAUUGUAUAAGUCGCAAGAAAUGCUCUACAGGUGAGGGACAUGGAGCAAAUUACCUACAGAGUGUCCCUACACAAGCUCUGAACUGAACAGGAAAAGCAGAAUUAAAUAUAAAUGGUCCUGGAGGCAAGUGUGGUUCUUCUUCCGAUGUACAUCACUGGUGGUAUUCAAGAGAGUGAGCCUCCCCAGAGCAUGUGGCCCACAUCCUGUCUUUUGGAGCUCUGCCCUGACCGUGUGCGUGACUCACACUUUCUUCAGCUGGGUGUCAGUCGGGCUCAGCAGCAGAGCUGAGAAAAAUGGAAAAGGUUCUUCAGUCCAUGAACACUGUGAAGAACAAGCAAGGGCUUGAGCUGUAAACUGCGAGACCUUUGACUCCACUUAUUCCCGUUCGCCUUGCAAGCUUUUGUUGUAAGGAUCGAUGAACAUUAAGAAAUCCACACAAUGGAGAUGAUAGCAAGCACAAGUAAAAUCUAGUCAUAAACUUCCAGGUCAGGAAAAAGAAAUAAAGAUGAGAAAAACACAG
Molecule: long non-coding RNA, 656 nt
Filed under: Mus pahari (shrew mouse)
Lineage: Eukaryota; Metazoa; Chordata; Mammalia; Rodentia; Muridae
Description: lncRNA (MGP_PahariEiJ_G0005921.1)
Source: RNAcentral